AAUGGCGCUUGCCUAAACAUGCAAGUCGAACGAGGUCCAACCUUCGGGUGAAGACCUAGUGGCGAACGGGUGAGUAACACGUGGGCAAUCUGCCCUCCACACUGGGAUAACCCUCGGAAACGAGAGCUAAUACCGGAUACUUCGGGACGGUCGCAUGGCCGAUCCGAGAAAGCUCCGGCGGUGGAGGAUGAGCCCGCGGCCCAUUAGCUUGUUGGCGGGGUAACGGCCCACCAAGGCAACGAUGGGUAGCCGAGCUGAGAGGCUGAUCGGCCACACUGGGACUGAGACACGGCCCAGACUCCUACGGGAGGCAGCAGUGGGGAAUCUUGCGCAAUGGGCGAAAGCCUGACGCAGCAACGCCGCGUGCGGGAUGAAGGCUCUCGGGUCGUAAACCGCUUUCAGUAGGGACGAAACUGACUGUACCUACAGAAGAAGCCCCGGCUAAAUACGUGCCAGCAGCCGCGGUAAUACGUAUGGGGCAAGCGUUAUCCGGAUUCAUUGGGCGUAAAGAGCGCGUAGGCGGCUUGUUAAGUCGGAUGUGAAAACCGGGGGCUCAACCCCCGGCCUGCAUCUGAAACUGGCAGGCUUGAGUCUGGUAGAGGAAAGUGGAAUUCCCAGUGUAGCGGUGAAAUGCGCAGAUAUUGGGAGGAACACCAGUGGCGAAGGCGGCUUUCUGGGCCACGACUGACGCUGAGGCGCGAAAGCUAGGGGAGCAAACAGGAUUAGAUACCCUGGUAGUCCUAGCCGUAAACGAUGGGCACUAGUGUGGGGGGGUCAUCAACUCCCUCCGUGCCGCAGCUACGCAUUAAGUGCCCCGCCUGGGGGAGUACGACCGCAAGGUUAAAACUUCAAAGGAAAUUGACCGGGGGGUCGGCACA
RNAcentral lists this ribosomal RNA (878 nucleotides) under uncultured Actinomycetes bacterium. RNAcentral's name for it is "bacterial SSU rRNA". It matches the Rfam family "Bacterial small subunit ribosomal RNA", at positions 38 to 927 of the family's 1533-position model. Lineage: Bacteria; Bacillati; Actinomycetota; Actinomycetes. The record is from RNAcentral.